AUAAUGCUCUAAUUGGACCACAAUAAUGUUAAACAAGCUUAAUCAAAUUCAAAGAAACUUCAAAGAAAUUUUGAACAAAUAAUAGGAAUUCUUAAAGAAAUAUUAGAAGGAUCACAAAUAUCACUCAAAUACAUCUCAAUUCAAUCUUAAUUUAAUCCUAGUUAAAAUCCUAUUGGACUUCAUUCAAACUUUAGGCCAAAAUUAAUUAAAUCUUAAACUCUAAAAAAUCCUAAUAAAAUCCUAAACCAAAUCCUAAUCAAAUCCUAAAUCCAAACCCUAAAUUCUAAACUAAAUCCUAAAUCAAAUCCUAACCAAAUCCUAAACUAAAUCCUAAACCCUAAAUUAAAUCUUAAACAAAUUCUAAACGAAAUCCUAAAUCCUAAAUCAAAUCCUAACUAAAUCCUAAUCAAAUCCUAAUUUAAAUCCUAAAUCCUAAACCAAAUCCUAAAUCAAAUCCUAAAUCCUAAACCAAACCCUAUCCAAAUCCUAAACCAAAUCCUAAUCCUAAACCAAUUCCUAACCAAACCCUAGUAAUUCCUACAACAGAUUUAAACCUCAAUAACUAAUGAAUAAACCAUCGAUCU
Molecule: long non-coding RNA, 584 nt
Filed under: Physcomitrium patens
Lineage: Eukaryota; Viridiplantae; Streptophyta; Bryopsida; Funariales; Funariaceae
Description: long non-coding RNA (PPAT_LNC009324)
Source: RNAcentral